This 74-nucleotide transfer RNA is filed under the name Myxococcaceae bacterium. RNAcentral's name for it is "tRNA-Glu". It matches the Rfam family "tRNA". Rfam says of the family: Transfer RNA (tRNA) molecules are approximately 80 nucleotides in length. Their secondary structure includes four short double-helical elements and three loops (D, anti-codon, and T loops). Lineage: Bacteria; Pseudomonadati; Myxococcota; Myxococcia; Myxococcales; Myxococcaceae. The record is from RNAcentral.
GCUCCCGUCGUCUAAACGGUCAGGAUAUCCGGCUUUCACCCGGACAACGGCGGGUUCGAUUCCCCCCGGGAGCA